CAGCAGCCGCGGUAAUACAGAGGGUGCAAGCGUUAAUCGGAAUUACUGGGCGUAAAGCGCGCGUAGGUGGUUCGUUAAGUUGGAUGUGAAAUCCCCGGGCUCAACCUGGGAACUGCAUCCAAAACUGGCGAGCUAGAGUAGGGCAGAGGGUGGUGGAAUUUCCUGUGUAGCGGUGAAAUGCGUAGAUAUAGGAAGGAACACCAGUGGCGAAGGCGACCACCUGGGCUCAUACUGACACUGAGGUGCGAAAGCGUGGGGAGCAAACAGGAUUAGAUACCCGUGUAGUCCCUGUCUCUUAUAC
RNAcentral lists this ribosomal RNA (301 nucleotides) under uncultured bacterium. Its description in RNAcentral is "partial 16S ribosomal RNA". It matches the Rfam family "Bacterial small subunit ribosomal RNA", at positions 509 to 807 of the family's 1533-position model. The record is from RNAcentral.